This is a long non-coding RNA of Mobula hypostoma (lesser devil ray), 608 nucleotides long. RefSeq lists it as uncharacterized. The record is from RefSeq and is a predicted model, not a curated record. The transcript has 2 exons. NCBI's taxonomy places the organism in Eukaryota, Metazoa, Chordata, Chondrichthyes, Myliobatiformes, Myliobatidae.
UGCAGAACUGUCAGAAGAUGUGGCCUUUCACCGGGGAUGGUUAACUUUGGACAUGAAGCUGUCUGGGAUAUCACAACAGGUGUGCCAGCUGGAAUUCUGUUGAGUCAGUUGUGAAGCAGAAGUGGUGAUUUUAGUAUUCAACUGAUCCUCAGUCCCUCUGGAAGAGGGGGUGACAAGGAUUUUUGGAAGCCAGGAACAUGGAAAAGGACUUGGAUGUCACGGAGCUCAAACCUGGAGAUCGUGGGCACCCAAAGUCAAAGGGGUGCAGUUAUUGGGGAAUUUUUUUUCCUGUAGGCCAGAAAGCAUCUAAAUGGUCCUCUCACGUAUUGUUUUAACUGGUAAACCACCUGUACCUUGUUGGUCCAGUGUAUAAGGAUUGGGAGUCGUGAACUCCCAUGUGUGGUGCAAGUGGCAGCCCUGGGAGAUGCAUGCUACUCUACCUGUGUUCUCUGCUGAUGGGUACAGUUAUCUAAUUGAUAUGUGAUGGGAAAGGCUAUAAUCUUGUUCCAAAGCCUCUUACUAAUUGCUCAGACGUGUAAUCAGCAACAUGUUUUUUCAUCCACAAGUGGUCUUGUACACCUGUCCAAAUAAAUAUUCACUGUACUUAA